GUGUUGGUGGUUCUGUGGUAGAAUUCUCACCUUCCAUACAGGAGACCUGAGUUCAAUUCCCAGCUAAUGCA
Molecule: transfer RNA, 71 nt
Filed under: Loxodonta africana (African savanna elephant)
Lineage: Eukaryota; Metazoa; Chordata; Mammalia; Proboscidea; Elephantidae
Rfam family: tRNA
About the family: Transfer RNA (tRNA) molecules are approximately 80 nucleotides in length.
Source: Rfam by way of RNAcentral